This 948-nucleotide ribosomal RNA is filed under the name Cribrorotalia sp. 17614. Its description in RNAcentral is "bacterial SSU rRNA". It matches the Rfam family "Eukaryotic small subunit ribosomal RNA", at positions 1160 to 1801 of the family's 1831-position model. The record is from RNAcentral. Lineage: Eukaryota; Foraminifera; Rotaliida; Notorotaliidae.
AAGGGCACCACAAGAACGCGUGGAGCAUGUGGCUUAAUUUGACUCAACGCGGGAAAUCUUACCGGGUCCGGGCACACUGAGGAUUGACAGACAAUCAUAUAUUUUUACCUUUGGGUAAUUAUAUAUCAAAUAAAGAUGCUAGUUCUUUCAUGAUUACGUGAUAGGUGGUGCAUGGCCGUUCUUAGUUCGUGGAGUGAUCUGUCUGCUUAAUUGCGUUUCACAAUUAAAAUACGUACUGUUUAAUUUAUGAUUGCCUGACCCCAUCCUUACGGGUGCCUGUGUGUCUCGUAUCUAAAAUUUAUAUACAUACGUUAUUUCGAAAGCAACGAACGUGACCGUAUCCUUUUGUUAAUAUACAUACGUAUAUUUUAAAAACUAAAGGGACCGCUGUUUCUUUCUUAAACCAGAGGAAGGUUACGGCAAUAACAGGUCUGUGAUGCCCUUAGAUGUUCCGGGCUGCACACGUGCUACAAUGAUUAUUUCAGUAAGUAUCUAAUCUUUUAUACGUACACUGUGCAUGUGUAUUAUAUACACUUGACUCAAUGGACUAUUAUCCUACCUCGAAAGUUAGGUGGGUAAUCAAUUAGAAGUAAUGAUUUCCUAAAAUAUUUUGUACAAAAAUAUACAGCGUAUUCAUAUCCCAUAAAGAGCAAUCUGCAUGCGUGUGUAUGAUACGUAUAUUUCCCAUUAUACGGGAUUUAUUUNCUGUAUGUACAAUUGUUAAUUCAUGGUGGGGACAGACCAUUGUUAAUUAUUGGUCUCGGUCUUAACUAGGAAUGCCUUGUACGGGUCUUUGGUUCAUCAAACCACCCGGAAUACGUCCCUGCCCUUUGUACACACCGCCCGUCGCUCUUACCGAUGAACUUUACUAUGAAUUUGAGGGAUUUUUUCAUUAAAAAAACUUAAAUGAAUAGUGUGGUUUAAAGGAAAGAGAAGUCGAACAAGGCA